Molecule: ribosomal RNA, 445 nt
Filed under: uncultured bacterium
Lineage: Bacteria
Description: bacterial SSU rRNA
Rfam family: Bacterial small subunit ribosomal RNA
Source: RNAcentral
GUAAGGAAUAUUGGUCAAUGGGGGGAACCCUGAACCAGCCAUGCCGCGUGCAGGAAGACGGCCCUACGGGUUGUAAACUGCUUUUGUACGGGAAUAACCCGCCAUACGUGUAUGGCGCUGAAGGUACCGUAAGAAUAAGGAUCGGCUAACUCCGUGCCAGCAGCCGCGGUAAUACGGAGGAUCCGAGCGUUAUCCGGAAUUAUUGGGUUUAAAGGGUGCGUAGGCGGCAUGCUAAGUCAGGGGUGAAAUACGGUGGCUCAACCAUCGCAGUGCCUUUGAUACUGGCGUGCUUGAAUUUACCUGAGGUAGGCGGAAUGUGGCAAGUAGCGGUGAAAUGCAUAGAUAUGCCACAGAACACCGAUUGCGAAGGCAGCUUACCAAAGUAGGAUUGACGCUGAGGCACGAAAGCGUGGGGAUCGAACAGGAUUAGAUACCCCAGUAGUCC